CCACUUUCUGGGUUACGCAUGUCUACUGUCUUCAGGAAAAAGAGGACCUUAGAACUGAAGGAGCAAGAUUCCAACAUCACACUGUUUUUGUUAGCUGUGUGUGUGUGUUUCCUGUGUAUCCAAAAGACAGAGGAGAUGAAAAAGCAAAAGAAAAGAAACGAGGAAUCAGAUUGGAAAGAAGGUUUCUCCAGGACGUCACCUGUAUGAGGUACACAGUGUGAUGACACACUCUGUGCUUUUCCUACUUGUGUCCACGUGAGUGUCUGGAGCUGCCCUUCAAGGAGAGCAAUAGAUGAAUGAUUCUGCCUUCCCGCUGAGAGGGAUGUGGGUCCUGCGGAUGGUCGGGGUGAAGCUUCCUCUCCUUUCUGCUGACAGCACUUCCUCAUUAAAUGCAGAGAUCUGCAAAAAGGGAAAAUAAAAACACAAGAAGAAAAAUGAGGCAUCAAAGACCCUCCUCUUAUGCCCAUGGGGAUUUGGAGGACGGGUUAUUUCUUUGCUUUCCCAAAGGGCCCAAGAAGAGCUUCCGGGGAGAGGGAGAGCACCCUUUUUGAGGAUUCCCGACAAGCCUGUCUCCCGAGGGCUCCUGUAGGAGAGGCGGUAACUAGGGCGCAGAUCAUUUUCUGUGUUAAGGGCAUCCAAGGAGAGAAGAGAGUGACCGCCUAUGACUUGGGAGGCCCGUAAAGAUGGGGUCCUGGAUGAGCAGUAGCAAGGAGGGUACGGGGAUGGGUGUGCCUUGGGGGCUGGCAGUGAGGACGGCAUCGUCCCUAGAGAGUUUAAAGACAAGAAUCAAUCCAGCUCCAAGUGAGACUGCUUUUAAACCAUUUUAAUUGCCACACACCAGUAAGUUCAAGCAAUAUCAGUGAUAAAAUCUCCUUCCGUUGGGCAGCCAGUCCUUCUGCACCCUCCUGGUGUGUCCUGAGUAAGUGGGGUAGGGAGGAGCUAGUGUGGCCCGAAGACAAAGGAACCCGAGAUAUUUCUUUCCUCUUCCAAGCAAGAGAGGCUGGAGACAGCACAUGAGUGUUCAGGGAUCCUUGGGGGUCAA
This 1042-nucleotide long non-coding RNA is filed under the name Homo sapiens (human). RNAcentral describes it as "HSALNT0024338". The record is from RNAcentral. Lineage: Eukaryota; Metazoa; Chordata; Mammalia; Primates; Hominidae.